Long non-coding RNA from Manis pentadactyla (Chinese pangolin), 4516 nucleotides. RefSeq lists it as uncharacterized. Lineage: Eukaryota; Metazoa; Chordata; Mammalia; Pholidota; Manidae. The record is from RefSeq and is a predicted model, not a curated record. The transcript has 2 exons.
CCCCCCGGAGUUGGCCGCUUCCUCCAGGGCGCGCUCGAGCCCGCGGUUCAAGGGCAGGUUGAAGACCCCGCCGCCGCCGCCGCCUCCCCCGACCCCGCCGCUGGACCCGGUUCCUGCGUGGGUGUUUUAGGGAAGAAGAGAUUUUAGGGGGUCUGAGAAGACGGCGGCGAGGCAAUAGAUGGGAUUUGAAAUACGGUGAGAUCACGGGAGGCGAAAGAUUAUCUCAACUAUGCGAACUGUAUCAGGCUUUUUGACCCAGCGAUCCCCAAGACAGUUUUUCACUGUAGGGGUAAGCCAGCAGACGACCCCUGGCAUUUGGGCGCCGACAAUGAGCCAACGCUGGUCUGGUUAGUCUACAUUAUCACAUGAAUCCAGGAGCCCCAUGAGAGGAAAAAUUGUUUCCCCUAGUCUCUAGAGGAAAUUAAGAAACUUGUCUAAAGCAAGCCACGCAACUCAGAGGUCAAGCUGGAUUUGAACUUGUAGCCCUCCACUCUAGGGCUGCCCUCCUUCCUGUAAAGUCCCUGGCAGAACCCCAGAGCAAACAGAAGUUGGGCAGAAGGGUCCCUGAGCGUUUCUGAAGUAUGAAACCAGACACAGACCGGAAGAACUUUCAAAAUGAGGGGAGUUUUUGUGGUCGACGGUGUCCACUGUCAUAAAAGAGAGGGGCUGGCUAUUAACUGACUAAGCCCCGGAAUUGAGUGGUGCAAGGAACGGUUAGAAGUUUGCGCCUGCGCACAGGUACUGUCCGUGUGUCCUCGUGCACCUUCUUGACUUCUGGGGCCUGGGAACCGACAUGGCCACUUGCAUACUUUGCCCAGACCAAGGCUGGCACACCAGAGGCGACAGAAUAUCUGACACCAUACAGCAGACCAGCUGGAAGAUUGAGAAAGUCCCACUGCUUUCCGAAGUUUCCGCUCCAACUUUCUAGGGCCUUUAUUUUUGUUCGAUAUCCAUGGUUUGAUCAUCACUGAACAAUUUAGCUAAGGGAAAUGAGAAUGCGAGUCAAGUUCGAAAAUAAUACGACCUUCGAUGUAGGAGGGCCGGUCUUUUAAGUGAUAAAGCGGAAAGUUGACGCCUGGAUAACAGGCUAGAACUUUUGAUUUCAUGGAUUUAAGAUCUUUCUUUCCUAAAAUCUGCAUAAUCUAUAUCCUUGCUUUGAUUGCAUGCAUAGUCUACCUUAAUUCAUGCAGGAUUCUCGGCUGAGAAUAAAACAUUGUAAUCUCCGCGGAGGAGACAGGCGCCACCUGCUGGUAUCCGUCGAACCUCUCACACCAACCCCUUUUCCCCUCAGCCUUCCCAACUUUUAAAAACUAGGUUUAAAGAUUAAUAUUAAUAUUAGUAAAUGAAAGUACACUUAACAUCACUUAUUCAAACUAACCUUCUUUCCUCUUUCCUCUUUCCUCACUGGUCUUUCCCCAAAAGGCGAGUGAGAAAGAGACAGAAACAAAUUCCAGCUAAAACCAGCCUGUGUGACCAGCAUGCAGGGUAUGAUUGAGGAUGUCUGACAGACUGAAAAGUUACUUCAGACCACCAAUUGUGGCAUCGUAAGAGCAUGUAUUUUAUUUUUUAGAUACCACAAUUUAUUCUUUAGAGAAAAUGAUGGAAUAUGACUUCAGGAUUUGCUUCAUAACAAAUGAUCAAUCCUUACAUUAUGUUGACCCAGUCAAUACAGCUCCCUUUACCUUCUACAGAUUACUAAAGUAUGAACUCCUUAAGGGAGGAAAAUAUUCAUCUUUGUAACUCCCUCCCGUAUCCCAGAAUCUAGAAGAGUACUUUGUACAUGACGAGGGCACAAUGAAUAUUAGCAAUUAAACACUGCACAAUAGACCAAGGGCUUUACAGGUUGCCAUUUGUUGGUACAUCCUUGAAAUGAUGUCCCUGAACAAAGGCGUAUUUCUUUAAAAUGGGGGAGAGUAGUUGACCCUUGAUACUGACUGAUCUUUAUUAUGUCUAAAUAUUCAAGAAACUUGACAAGCCAUUUUUUCUGUCUUGCUUCUUCACUACUUUUUCAACGAGGUGGACAUCUCUGCUUUGUUUAAUACCCUUUUUUACUUCUUCUGAAAACAGUAGAAAGUACUUCUUCCUGUUCCACAUUCCCCACUCCGUAUAUUUACUUCUCUGAUAGCAGGUAUGCUAUUACAUCCACUCAGCUAGCCAUCUUGGUUAGUCCAAAAGUGGACUUCUGACCAAAUGAUAGAGCACCCAGAGGAACAGAGUCUCCUGUUUGUGUUUAAAUCCUAGAUUCUAGCUGUUCCUCAUUGGCAACUUUGAUUUCUAUGAGAUAUCCAAUAUAUUUAUAACACACUUUCUGUCUGCUUAAGUCAGUUUUAUUUGAUUUUCUGUCAAUGCAGCCAAGAGUUCUAACUAAUAUAUUCAAUUUACCAUAGCUUUUUAUCAUUGCUUUUUUUUAACUAUGGUUUAAAAAAAUACCAUAAUUUUUAUACCCCCUUGUUUUCUUUUAUUGCCUUAUUUUCAGAUAAUCCACAUAAUCUUUUUACAAACUAUUUUUUUCAUGCUUUCUUCUCGUUACCUUCCAACCAUUUCACAAAGUUAACAAAAUUCAACUGAUUCAUAAAAUGGGGGAAAUAGAAAUAUUCUCAGUUUAAAAUAUUGACAAUUAGGGAAAAAUUAUCAGCUUCAUCAAUGAAUCAAAAAAUCUCAGAACUUAUUUUUUUAAUCUUCUUCUGCUCAGAUAAGAUACCAGAUCAUAGACUCUUCCACAUUUAAGACCCACCCCUUUAAAUCUUGCCUGAAAAAUGGAGCUGUAGACAAGCUUAUAAGAAUCAAACUAUUAAGAAUGGCAGAUGGAUAUGAGUAGGAAUUUUCAGUCCCUACCAUCUUCUCAGAAAACUAUCAAGAAUUCUCUUGCUGAGGGAGCUCCAAGCACUUGCCGGAAGGUGAGCGUGGUCAGCCAGGUUUGUCCUUCAUGGCUCUGACUGGCCCCUCCUGCCACAGCUAGUGGCAAAGGGGGCUGACACAUGGUCCAGGCAGGUGAGUUCACCCAUCAGACUCUCCUGAAAAUUUAAGCAAAAGCACACAAGAUCAAAACCAUGCAACAACGGGCAUUUGACCCCAAAGGCAAGCAGGGUCAGAGUUUAUUCAUAUGUUUUACCUUGAUAUUCUCCAACCUCUCCAGUUUCCUGUUUCCUAAAAAGAAGGGCAAGAAUAUUCCCUGAUUAACACCACCCUUUUCUGGUUACUACCUCCACAUGCUCUCAGUACUAAAGCAUGCUCUUUAUGCUGUAUCUUUAAAUAUUUACCAGUAAGUAUUUAUCCAUAAAUGAUCAGAGUAUGUUGAAUCUAUUAGCUUUUAAGUACAUUCAGGGUAACACCAACAUGAAUUUCUCUGAAGAUAAUCAAUAAUACUAUCUUGGACAUGUUUAGGAGAUUUUGCUAGCAUUCUAAAACACUAAUCUGAACCAAUUGGUUAAUGACGAAGUGACCCUAGCAAAAUGAGAAAAAUUAGGACAAUGUCCUAAGUUUUCUCACAAUCAUGAAUGCAAUUUCAAGAAUUGCAUGUAAAUGUUGGACUGUGUUAUAUCAGCCAAAUGUCAAUUUUAAAAAUAAAAAAUAAACAAAUGUUGGACUAUGUAUAUACAGGUGGGACUGUGCCUUUCUUAUAUUUUUCUACUGAAAAAAAUGGAACAGUAGUAAUAAUGAUAAUAAAUUCUAGUCAAAUAAUUCUACCCUUAUUGGCAUAAAAGAAAACAGUCAGCUCCCAAAUUGAUUUUUUUUUAAGGUACUUAAUCUGUUAUAUCAAAAAGCCUAUGAACUAUUUGCUUAAACUCUGAUUUUCUUCAAAGUUAGUCAUACUUAGCUCCAGUUACUUGCCUUCAGGCACUUUCUUAAGCUUUGUUCACACUAACUGUAAUUUAAUGUAAUGCCUACACAUCUUUGUGAGAGUGUAAGGUUUGUUUGUGUCUCUUUCCCCAUUGCUUUUCUAUUUUCUAGAUAUUCUCAUUUCCAGAAUUUAUCAUAAGUCUGAAAAGAGGAUAUUGUUCACCUUCAGAUUUUGAAAUAUUCACCACUGACUGUUGUCCAGACUCAGCAUUUUUGUCCUCUCCACUCCAAGGCCUCCACAAGAAUCCCCAACCCUCAAAUAGAGGCUCGUUUUUACUUCUUAGGGAGCAAAGCCACAGCAGCCGCUGCCACGUUGCCCGGCCCCACUCUGCCUCUUUCUCUCCGUUCUCCUGGAGACAGAAGCCAACCUCUAGCUCCUGGACCAGGGAGACUUCAUUUAUGUCUUCUCUUCCACUGCAGUGCCUAUUAAACAAAGAAACCACAAAACCUGGGCAUCAAGAUUCUCCAAGACGCUGCCUUCUAGAGCCAUUCUCUGAAUAACGUUGGAGGACCUGCCUGUGAAUGAACAAGUUAUAGAGGCUUUAAUGUUUGUUCUAUUUUAUGAAUAUAAUUGGUCUCAUGAUAAAAUGCCAAUUUUAUGUACUUUUUUAUUUUUGAACAUUUUUAAAAAGCAUAUAUAUGAGAUAUAAUAGCAGAAAGACAUGUUAAUGUAAAA